UAUUGGACAAUGGGCGAAAGCCUGAUCCAGCAAUGCCGCGUGAGUGAUGAAGGCCUUAGGGUUGUAAAGCUCUUUUACCCGGGAUGAUAAUGACAGUACCGGGAGAAUAAGCUCCGGCUAACUCCGUGCCAGCAGCCGCGGUAAUACGGAGGGAGCUAGCGUUGUUCGGAAUUACUGGGCGUAAAGCGCACGUAGGCGGCUUUGUAAGUUAGAGGUGAAAGCCUGGAGCUCAACUCCAGAAUUGCCUUUGAUACUGCAUCGCUUGAAUCCAGGAGAGGUGAGUGGAAUUCCGAGUGUAGAGGUGAAAUUCGUAGAUAUUCGGAAGAACACCAGUGGCGAAGGCGGCUCACUGUCUAGUAUUGACGCUGAGGUGCGAA
Molecule: ribosomal RNA, 377 nt
Filed under: uncultured bacterium
Lineage: Bacteria
Description: bacterial SSU rRNA
Rfam family: Bacterial small subunit ribosomal RNA
Source: RNAcentral